This 87-nucleotide transfer RNA is filed under the name bacterium. RNAcentral describes it as "tRNA-Leu". It matches the Rfam family "tRNA". Rfam says of the family: Transfer RNA (tRNA) molecules are approximately 80 nucleotides in length. Their secondary structure includes four short double-helical elements and three loops (D, anti-codon, and T loops). The record is from RNAcentral.
GCCGCGGUGGUGGAACUGGCAGACACGUACGACUCAAAAUCGUAUGGGCUCACGCCCAUGAGAGUUCAAGUCUCUCCCGCGGCACCA